This 1570-nucleotide long non-coding RNA is filed under the name Numida meleagris (helmeted guineafowl). RNAcentral describes it as "lncRNA (ENSNMEG00000020007.1)". Lineage: Eukaryota; Metazoa; Chordata; Aves; Galliformes; Numididae. The record is from RNAcentral.
UGGACUCAUAUAGGGACCAGCCACAGGAGGGAGAGCAUCUCUGGGACCUGGGCUGCUCCUUAAGAGGCAGUGCUGUGUAACCAGAGAGCCCCUUCACCAGCUGGGUGAGUGCAGCUGUUCUUUCUUUCUGUCUAUGGCUGUUGCCCUACCUGUGAGUGCUUUGUCUGAUGUUGCCAAGAACCAUUUGGAAGUCAUUUAGUUUCUUCAUGAGCAGAACAAAGGCCAUGGUUUUCACGGCCACUUGUUGGAUAAUAAAGAGAAAGGGAAACAGUCUGUUCUCUGCUGGGUGGACUACUGAAAACAGCCAAGCACAACGGCUUUCCUUCUGCCUUUCUUUUUCCUUCAUCAAGAUAAACAUAAUAAGCAGCUGAAAAACGUAGGCUGUGCUUACAACAAAAGCUGGGGAUGGGCUACGUGAUCUCUACUGUCCCUUCCAACUCCUAUGACCCUGCGUCCUCAUGGCGGGACGCUGCAGCAGGAGGCAGGGAUGGGCCUGCACAGUUACAGCACUGUAGGGGCUGGGCUGAAGCAGUGACCGUGCUGGAGUGGGAAGUGCUGCAGAGCAAGGCAGGGAGCAAAAGCCCAAAGGAUAGAGCUGUUUAAGGUUGGACCUCGCAUCCAUCUUCAUAUCUUCUGAUAUAAGACAUUGGCCAGCACUGUCAGAGCCAUGCAGAUCCACUUAUCAGCAAGGAACUGACCAUUUACUGGAAGAUAACCUGAGAACUUGGUCGCCUCACCCCAGAGCAAGUCUUCUGACCCUGCUCUGUUUUCUAAUGUGCCCAUGCUCCAUGGUAUCACAGGUCCUGCCUGCAUUGCUAGGGCAGGCCCAGGCUCCAGGCAGGUGAUGGCUGUGCUGGUGGCAGAGUCCUGCAGUGCUCUGGGUGCUCACCAGCAGCUUGCUGCCUGCAGCACCUGCCUUGAAGAGUCUCAUAGUAGUGCAAAAAUGGAGGCCCAGCGCUGGGAAGGAAGUGGUGUGAUUUGUCCCCUGUGCACUUUCUCUGGGACCCUGAUACAGCUCUUCAGUUCCCUGCAAGCCUUUACAGCUCAUGACCUGAUGUUUCUUUUCCUUAAAAAUCUAUCUCCUGUUCUCCAGUCUGAAGCACUGAAAAUAAAACAUUGGCACGGCCACCAUCCCACUGGAGAGCAGCAGCUGAGACAGCAUCUUGGCCUUGCCAAUAAGAACCAAGUGGAGUAACCUGCAGUGAUUGACUUCGGUGCUUGCCAUCCCCACAGAAAGUGCAGGGGCUCUCAGCAGCAGCGUCACGGAGCAGCACUGUGCCCUGUCUGAUCAUCCUGUAAUGCUGAGAAACACCCGGAGCUGGGUGCUUAUUUCCAUUGUUUGUAACGCGCCCAAGUGUUUACAUAAUGUAAUUAUUUGAAAAUAACAUUAAUUUUAAAACAUACUGCCUUCUUGGAAUACAAAAUUAAGAAAAAAAAAAAAGAAAAGAACAUUUAACAAGUGCAGUUAAUCUGAAAUUACUUGGCAGGGAAGAGUCACCAUUGAUGUAUUUAACAAAAAAACUCAUUAAAACAAAAUACAGACGGAAAAUAAAAGAUGUUGUUUAAUGCA